ACUCCUACGGGAGGCAGCAGUGGGGAAUAUUGCACAAUGGGGGAAACCCUGAUGCAGCCAUGCCGCGUGUGUGAAGAAGGCCUUCGGGUUGUAAAGUACUUUCAGCAGUGAGGAAGGUGGGUAUGUUAAUAGCAUACUUCAUUUGACGUUAGCUGCAGAAGAAGCCACCGGCUAACUCCGUGCCAGCAGCCGCGGUAAUACGGAGGGUGCGAGCGUUAAUCGGAAUUACUGGGCGUAAAGCGCAUGCAGGUGGUUUGUUAAGUCAGAUGUGAAAGCCCGGGGCUCAACCUCGGAAUUGCAUUUG
RNAcentral lists this ribosomal RNA (304 nucleotides) under uncultured bacterium. RNAcentral's name for it is "bacterial SSU rRNA". It matches the Rfam family "Bacterial small subunit ribosomal RNA", at positions 335 to 629 of the family's 1533-position model. The record is from RNAcentral.